GAUGAACGCUGGCGGCGUGCCUAAUACAUGCAAGUCGAGCGAACAGACGAGGAGCUUGCUCCUCUGACGUUAGCGGCGGACGGGUGAGUAACACGUGGAUAACCUACCUAUAAGACUGGGAUAACUUCGGGAAACCGGAGCUAAUACCGGAUAAUAUAUUGAACCGCAUGGUUCAAUAGUGAAAGACGGUUUUGCUGUCACUUAUAGAUGGAUCCGCGCCGCAUUAGCUAGUUGGUAAGGUAACGGCUUACCAAGGCAACGAUGCGUAGCCGACCUGAGAGGGUGAUCGGCCACACGGGAACUGAGACACGGUCCAGACUCCUACGGGAGGCAGCAGUAGGGAAUCUUCCGCAAUGGGCGAAAGCCUGACGGAGCAACGCCGCGUGAGUGAUGAAGGUCUUCGGAUCGUAAAACUCUGUUAUUAGGGAAGAACAAAUGUGUAAGUAACUAUGCACGUCUUGACGGUACCUAAUCAAAAAGCCACGGCUAACUACGUG
RNAcentral lists this ribosomal RNA (497 nucleotides) under uncultured bacterium. RNAcentral's name for it is "partial 16S ribosomal RNA". It matches the Rfam family "Bacterial small subunit ribosomal RNA", at positions 28 to 507 of the family's 1533-position model. The record is from RNAcentral.